UCCCUGGUAGCUCAGUGGUAGAGCUGACGACUGUUAAUCGUCCGGUCGCUGGUUCGAAUCCGGCCCAGGGAGCCA
RNAcentral lists this transfer RNA (75 nucleotides) under Alphaproteobacteria bacterium. Its description in RNAcentral is "tRNA-Asn". It matches the Rfam family "tRNA". From Rfam's summary of the family: Transfer RNA (tRNA) molecules are approximately 80 nucleotides in length. The record is from RNAcentral. Lineage: Bacteria; Pseudomonadati; Pseudomonadota; Alphaproteobacteria.